UACUGAUUGUAGAUUAAAAGUCAAAAGAAUUUCUGAGUUUUUGUAUAGUAUUGAGUACUAUGAUAUUAUCUCUCUUAAAAUAUGUUUUUCUUUAUCCAUAAUACAGAGGAAUCAAAAAAAUAUGUUAGAACUUGGAUGUGAAGUUGCACAAAUGUGUGAAGCAAAUUAAGGUGACAAGGAAGAAACAAGAAAAUGUUCAAAUUAAAUCUACCUUUCAAAGCAGAACUGGAGCUAACUUAAGACCAAGAGCUCUGGAGACAAGGUGACCACACUUGGGGAUUGUCAUAGUUUGAGUAAUUCCUCUGGGCUCUGCCACCCAGCAAGUUAAAGAGGACAAGAUUCCUCCCAGGGGAUUGUGGUUCUGGGAAUGUGAGCAGCUUGUUUUCAUGAGAUCUGCACCCUGACCUGGCCUGGUAGGAGCUGUGUGUGAUGGUCUCGUUGUUUGUAGUUGCUUCUUCCAGCUUACACAGUUAUUUGUAUAUAAAGAUUUAUGAAAAGUGAAGCUUUUACCAGGAUGUUUUGCUUAUACAAAG
This 533-nucleotide long non-coding RNA is filed under the name Equus asinus (donkey). RNAcentral's name for it is "lncRNA (ENSEASG00005033399.1)". Lineage: Eukaryota; Metazoa; Chordata; Mammalia; Perissodactyla; Equidae. The record is from RNAcentral.